This 468-nucleotide ribosomal RNA is filed under the name uncultured bacterium. RNAcentral describes it as "partial 16S ribosomal RNA". It matches the Rfam family "Bacterial small subunit ribosomal RNA", at positions 28 to 507 of the family's 1533-position model. The record is from RNAcentral.
GACGAACGCUGGCGGCGUGCUUAACACAUGCAAGUCGAACGGAAAGGCCCUGCUUUUGUGGGGUGCUCGAGUGGCAAACGGGUGAGUAACACGUGAGUAACCUGCCCUUGACUUUGGGAUAACUUCAGGAAACUGGGGCUAAUACCGGAUAGGAGCUCCUGCUGCAUGGUGGGGGUUGGAAAGUUUCGGCGGUUGGGGAUGGACUCGCGGCUUAUCAGCUUGUUGGUGGGGUAGUGGCUUACCAAGGCUUUGACGGGUAGCCGGCCUGAGUGGGUGACCGGCCAAAUUGGGACUGAGAUACGGCCCAGACUCCUACGGGAGGAAGCAGUGGGGAAUAUUGCACAAUGGGCGGAAGCCUGAUGCAGCAACGCCGCGUGCGGGAUGACGGCCUUCGGGUGGUAAACCGCUUUCGCCUGUGACGAAGCGUGAGUGACGGUAAUGGGUAAAGAAGCACCGGCUAACUACGUG